AGGAAACUGAAAACAACAUGCUACGGAUUCAGAAUGCUUUCUCAGCCAUGGAGGCAAACUUUUACAUACUUUAGCUCCCAACUCUACCCUGAUAUCAUUGGUCUGGAGCAGGGCUAUCCAACUUGCAGCCCAUGAGCCAUAUGCAGCCCACAAGAUGAAUUCAUGGCUCCCAGGCUCCUGAUUCAGUUUCACACCUUCUGGUUUCACUGAAUUUUUUCUUGCUGACAUAUUCAGAAUUACCCAGCAAAAGCUACCAGAGCUACAACAGAAUAUGUUGACCAGGAAAUGAUGUAAAGCAAGAUGACAAUCAAGGCAACUUUGGCCAUCUUCCAUUCAUUCUUCAUCCUCUGCUAUUGCCUCUGGGAUUCUUUAUUAUCACCUGAAACAUCCUAGGGUGAAAAAAGCAUUAUUGCAACAGACACAACAACAAAAACUCUAGGGAGAGGAGGAUUAAAUAAAUGUCUUCGCAAAAUGGGACAGACGACUGGCCC
Molecule: long non-coding RNA, 491 nt
Organism: Alligator sinensis (Chinese alligator)
Lineage: Eukaryota; Metazoa; Chordata; Crocodylia; Alligatoridae
Exons: 3
Source: RefSeq, a predicted model, not a curated record